GCGGAGCGGCUGCACCCGAUCCCAUUCCGAACUCGGCCGUGAAACGCUCCAGCGCCAAUGGUACUUCGUCUCAGACGCGGGAGAGUAGGUC
This 91-nucleotide ribosomal RNA is filed under the name Brucella melitensis ADMAS-G1. Lineage: Bacteria; Pseudomonadati; Pseudomonadota; Alphaproteobacteria; Hyphomicrobiales; Brucellaceae. The record is from RNAcentral.